Long non-coding RNA from Ziziphus jujuba (common jujube), 542 nucleotides. RefSeq lists it as uncharacterized. The record is from RefSeq and is a predicted model, not a curated record. The transcript has 2 exons. NCBI's taxonomy places the organism in Eukaryota, Viridiplantae, Streptophyta, Magnoliopsida, Rosales, Rhamnaceae.
GCAUUUAGAGGUAAUCAAUCUGCAUUACAUGCCCAACACGCUAUAAGCCUAUAACAUAUAAUCUGCAUAGGCAUAGGGAUGGUGACGAGCAUAGUUGCGUAUAUGGAGUCCCACGAUUUCUUGCAAGUGGGUUACUAAAGGCUGUUUCCAAAGGGACGCAAGGCAGGGAGAUUUUGGUCAUUUUGCAUUUGCAAAACAAGCAUGGCAGUCUAGUUGUGGUUGGACUUUCGGCUGAAGCAAUUGAAUAGAUAACGCAACAGAAUAACCUCCAUUAAUCAUGCAUAUCUACACCAUUUGACUUCACAGUCAAUGCCAAGGUUUUGCUUGUAGGACUAUACUUGCGUACUUUGUUGGGCUCUUACCCUUUACUCACUUUUAGUUUUGUAUAUGGAAAAAAAAAGGAAAAGGUUUAUGGUAAACUGCUAAUUUGUCCCAUUAGAAAGAAAGCAAAAAAUGUUAGUUUGAUCUGAGACUAAUCUCUAAAAUCGUGUUUCUUAACUUGGAGAUAAAAAAUUAGCUUUUUGGUUUCUCAUUUGAAAGGA